CAUUGUCUCUUAAAGGUGUUAGUUUUGAAAUGCAUAUUCUUCAAGUAAUAAUUACCUAAGUUGCUCCAGAAAAAUUUGAUGUUGGUUCAAACCUUCCACUGAUGGUAAGAUGGAAUGCCAGCACCACGUGUGCCACUCUUUCAUAUUAAAACAUGUGAGAAUCUGCUUCCUAAAAGCUCUUUCCAGAUUCUCCUUUCUGCAGCUUAAAGCCCUGCACCCGCCCACCCUGUUUGCCUAAAGCCCUUUUAUAGUUCCCUCCCAGUUUCCUUGCAAGAAAACUCUUAAAAACAAACACACAAAACCUAAGCACUUGGCCUCUGUAAAACGUUGAAUUUGGUGGUUUAUUCUUGUGGACGUUGGAAGUAGAGGGAAGAACGUCCUAAAAUUCAUCGCUUAUCCUUAAAAAAUAUCAUUUUUAAAGGUGACUCACCUAACAGAAAAGUAAGCUCCACUUUAGGCUAUUCAGACACUGGUGUUUCUAUUAUUCCAAGAUGUCUCUUGCAGAGGCGACACAAAAACAGGCAGCUACCCACAUCAUGUUUAAGAAUACACUUUAUCUGAAAGCAAAUAGGAAAUUUACCAAGGUACCUUCUUCACACCUACUGUGUGAAAUGAAGGACUUCAUGCAUUCUCUGUCUGUAAAUGGAAUGAUAUACCUUGCCUUGCAGUAGAAUUACUUUGAUCCAAUCCAAUAAGCUGAGAUGAAACUGCUGUGACCUUCCCAGUAUUUCCUUUAGGUUCCGCUCUGAACAAACUCUAACAGUGAAAACCUUGCUAGUUAUCUCCUUCUUCUGGAGAUAGCUGGAAAGAGUCUUAUGCACUAUUGCAGUGGGAUUCUGUUCACCCGCAAACCUAAAAACAAUAAAAUUCCCAAAUGCACCUCCUCAUUUAGACACAGUCUUUAGUAAUUUAUUUCCAGCAUACAUUGUAUUUCCUUUACGUUUUUUCAUCAUAAAGAGUGUCCCAAGGGAAGAAAAUAAGGCUCUCUUUUCAUAUACUAAAUAAAUUCAGUAUUUCAUUUGUUUUAAACUGAUGAUAUCUCCCCAUAUCACUAGUAUUAGCAUUUUUAUUUAUUUUCACCUUCAAUUGAUUUCUAUGAAACAAAAGCAAAGGCAACAAAACAGCAGUAUUCAAGCUUUUUUAAAAAUAAUCUUUUUAUUUAAUAAAAUCUAGUCUAGAAUCCCCAAAUACAACUAUAAGAUAAGAAGUCAUGUAACAAGACCAAGAGGCCCAUUGCACCACCUCCCUUCCUUCUGUCUAGAACCUCUGGAUCCUUGGACUAGAAACAUCUGGAUCUCCUGAGAAUUUGUUGGAAAUUCAAAUUGUCCUCACUGAAUCAGGAAUGCUGAGGGUGGAGCCUAGCAAUCUGUAUUUUAAUAAGCUCUCCAAGUGAUCUGAUGCAUGCCCUAUGGUUUCAGAACUAUUACUCUAAGGCUUCUGGAAACACUGAUUGAAAACCUCUGCAAUAAAAUACUCACAUUAAGUACCCAAACACCAUGGUUCAAUCAGUAAUGGCCAAACUGUUGGCCAGCAGGUAGUGACACCAGCAAGGAGCUCGAAAUAGCAGAAGAUGUACAAUUUGCAACGAAAGGGGUGAUACAGGGGUGUCACAUACAAGGCAUAAGAAGUCAAGGACCC
Molecule: long non-coding RNA, 1638 nt
Filed under: Homo sapiens (human)
Lineage: Eukaryota; Metazoa; Chordata; Mammalia; Primates; Hominidae
Description: HSALNT0088992
Source: RNAcentral